Molecule: long non-coding RNA, 1077 nt
Organism: Sipha flava (yellow sugarcane aphid)
Lineage: Eukaryota; Metazoa; Arthropoda; Insecta; Hemiptera; Aphididae
Exons: 3
Source: RefSeq, a predicted model, not a curated record
GAUUGUAAGAACUUAAAAACAAUCGAAUAGUACCGGAUUGUUACAGUAGUUCUAAAUAAGCCACAACCCCUGUUACAACAACGUGUCCGAUUGAGACGACAUUGAUAAACAAAACCGAUCCGACAAUGAUUAGUUUCACAAACAAUCCAUGUAAUCAUCAAUAGAAUCGUUCGAAUCUGAUGAAAAAACUGGAGAGCAGGCCUUCCUGACUACUGUUGACUCGAACGAAACGAAUGAAAAAUUGCCAUCGAAUAAUCCGGUAGUGUACCAGCGUAACCAUAUUUGAUUAUUCGAUUCAAACCUACUUUUGCACAAUCCACGUUCACCGUCCACACCACUACUUCUUUGCUCCACAAAACAAAUCAAACCGAUAGUCUACAAGAUUCAAGGAGGUGAACAAUACGACCAUCAUGUUUUCAAUUCUGCAUCCUUUUCCGUCACCACCGUACCAUACCCCAUCGUACCGUGGGUUUUCGGCGCAGCCGAUAUGGCGUUUUCACGUCAACGACGAUGACCUGGCCCUGGGCCGGGAGAUCAAGGAGCAGGAGCAGAAUGAGGAGGAGGAAGAGGAUUAGUGGGAGGGGUUGAUUUGCAGGAGGACAACGUGAACGAUCGGCCCGGACGUUCCCAGGACCUGGGGUUUGAGCGUAUUGAUUGACCGCGCACAACAAGUGAGGGACCGGCGCACGCGCUCCAGCGACGGAAGCGCCGUCGAUGUCAGCAUCCGACGACCCGGCCUGCGCUUAAGGGAUCUCGAACAUUCCCAGGGACCCGUCGACUCACGCAACACGCUCGGAGCACGAUAUUUGUACGUCGCACGUCCUGUUGCUGUCAUAAUCUGACCGUUCCGGCCGCCAUCAGAUCGCCAUCAGCCAAGCCACCCACAAGAAUCGAAAUCGUUUGGAGGAGUUCGCAGCCGUUCCGCACACCAGGUGUGGUACAACGACGUGGUACAUCCGUUCGAUGCACAUGGUGGAUGCCGAACGUCGAGCUGACGGUUUACCGAAAUUUUUGUUUCUUCUCGCUAUCUUAAUAUUGAUUUGUUUUAUUUUGCAAGACGACAUUCUUCGCCGUCUG